This 844-nucleotide long non-coding RNA is filed under the name Homo sapiens (human). Its description in RNAcentral is "JAKMIP2 antisense RNA 1". Lineage: Eukaryota; Metazoa; Chordata; Mammalia; Primates; Hominidae. The record is from RNAcentral.
GUAUUCCUACUGUGCUCUCUGAGGAUGUGGAUGCUGUUGAUCUGCGGACCACACUUUGAGAAAUACACAGGUGACAGCUGUGGUGGAAAGAACUCCCAUCCAGGAAUCAAAACAUGUCUUCACAUUUUGGCCAUGGAACUUGGGGGUCUUGCUUUGUUGCUCAGGAUGGAGUACAGUGGUGCAAUCUUGUCUCACUGCAGCAUCGACCUCUGGGGCUUAAGCCAUCCUUGCACUUCAGCCUCCCAAGUAGCUGGUACUACAGCUUUGCCCCCUCCAGGGGAUGCAACAACAAGGCGCCAUCUUGGAAGUAGACACCAGGCCCUCACCAGACACCAAACCUGCUGGUGCCUCGAUCUUCAAUUUCCAGCCUCCAGAGUGUGUGAAUCCUGUUUGACAAAGAAUAUCGCGCAGUCAGCAUUUCAGAGUGGCACGAAAGAGCCUGUGUUGUCAAACCACUUUGCCAGAGCUGCCUUCUCCCCACCCUGUUUGUUUGCCUGCCAAAGACUGAAAGAGAUGUUCAAAGAUAAAGCUGAGUUUCUUCAGUACGUAUUGUGUUCUCUGGCAUUGGCAGCAUCUAAUCUUGACGUGGAAGACACUUGGGUGUUUUACAGCUGUUGCAGAGUAAGAAGUGUCAACUUCAUUGGACAUGAAGGAGAAAUCUCAAACAGAGCGGGAAGCAAUUAUGUAUUCAAGGUCAGGCAGAGCAAGAAACAUGCAUCAGAGCCCCCACCUGAGGCAGAUUCACUCUUCUUUGCUGUUGAAUAGCCAGAAUUCAUCUUUGAAAAAUUUACUGUGAAAAUAAAAACAACUGUCAAAUGAAGAAAAUAAAACACAGAGUACUCAA